This 280-nucleotide ribosomal RNA is filed under the name uncultured bacterium. RNAcentral's name for it is "partial 16S ribosomal RNA". It matches the Rfam family "Bacterial small subunit ribosomal RNA", at positions 76 to 353 of the family's 1533-position model. The record is from RNAcentral.
CUUGCUAAGUUUGAUGGCGACCGGCGCACGGGUGAGUAACACGUAUCCAACCUGCCGAUGACUCGGGGAUAGCCUUUCGAAAGAAAGAUUAAUACCCGAUGGCAUAGUUCUUCCGCAUGGUAGAACUAUUAAAGAAUUUCGGUCAUCGAUGGGGAUGCGUUCCAUUAGGUUGUUGGCGGGGUAACGGCCCACCAAACCUUCGAUGGAUAGGGGGUUCUGAGAGGAAGGUCCCCCACAUUGGAACUGAGACACGGUCCAAACUCCUACGGGAGGCAGCAUG